UCAAGCUAAUAAGAGCAUAAGGUGAAUGCCUUGGCAUCAAGAACCGAUGAAGGACGUAAAAAGCUGCGAUAAGCUUCGGGGAGGCGCACAUAGCCAACGAUCCGGAGAUUUCCGAAUGGGGAAACCUAGCUGAGAAAAGCUCAGUUGGCGUACAGUGAAUCAAUAGCUGUGCGUAGGGAACGCUCUGAACUGAAACAUCUAAGUAGGAGCAGGAAGAGAAAGAAACAUCGAUUUCCUAAGUAGUGGCGAACGAACGGGAAACAGGCCAAACCGAGAUACAUGUAUUUCGGGGUUGUGGACUACAUCAUGUGAUGGAGGUAAGGUAGUAGAAUUGUUUUGGGAAAGCAAGCCAAAGAAAGUGAAAGCCUUGUAUACGAAACCUGAAGACCCACAGUAGUAUCCAGAGUACAUCGGGACACGUGAAACCCUGAUGGAAGCCGGAGGGACCACCCUCCAAGCCUAAAUAUUCCUUGAUGACCGAUAGCGAAGAAGUACUGUGAAGGAAAGGUGAAAAGAACCCCGGGAGGGGAGUGAAAGAGAACCUGAAACCUUAUGUUUACAAACAGUCGAAGUUUUUCGGAACGACGGCGUACUUUUUGUAGAACGGUCCGGCGAGUUGCAGUGACAUGCGAGGUUAAGGAGUACAGCUCCGGAGCCGAAGGGAAACCAAGUCUUAACUGGGCGUCUAGUAUGUUAAUGCAGACCCGAAACCGGGUGACCUAUCCAUGGGCAGGUUGAAGUUACCGUAAAAGGUAAUGGAGGACCGAACUCACAUCUGUUGAAAAAGGUGGAGAUGACCUGUGGAUAGCGGAGAAAUUCCAAUCGAACUCGGAGAUAGCUGGUUCUCCUCGAAAUAGCUUUAGGGCUAGCCUUGAGGUAAAGUCUAAUGGAGGUAAAGCACUGAUUGGACGCGGGUCCCCAAAAGGAUACCAACUUCUAUCAAACUCAGAAUGCCAUAUAGAUAUACUCAGGAGUCAGACUAUGUGAGAUAAGUUUCAUAGUCAAAAGGGAAAGAGCCCAGACCGACAGCUAAGGUCCCAAAGUGUGUGUUAAGUGGAAAAGGAUGUUAGGUUUCUAAGACAACUAGGAUGUUGGCUCAGAAGCAGCCACUCAUUUAAAGAGUGCGUAACAGCUCACUAGUCGAGAGGUCUAGCGCCGAAAAUGUCCGGGGCUAAAACACACCACCGAAGCUACGGAAUUACCUAUGGUAAUUGGUAGAGGAGCAUUCUGUAAGGAUGAAGCACAAUUGAAAGAGAGUGUGGACGAAACAGAAGAGAGAAUGCCGGAAUGAGUAGCGAGAUAUAUGUGAGAAUCAUAUAGGUCGAAUGUCUAAGGUUUCCUGGGUAAAGCUGAUCUGCUCAGGGUAAGUCGGGACCUAAGGUGAGGGCGAGAGCCGUAAUCGAUGGACAACAGGUAGAAAUUCCUGUACUACGUAUAAUCAGAACUGUGGGGACGCAGGAGGAUAGGAAAACCGGAGAAUGGAAAAAUCCGGCUAAGUACAAAGGUGUGAGUGAUAGGCAAAUCCGUCACUAUUAGCUGAAGUACGAAUGGGAGCGAAGAAAAGUAGCGAAGUUUCUGAAUCCACACUGUCAAGAAAAGCCGCUAUUGCGUUAUACGUACCCGUACCGCAAACCGACACAGGUAGACGAGGAGAAAAUCCACAGACCGACGGGAGAAGUGUUGUUAAGGAACUCGGCAAAAUGACCCCGUAACUUAGGGAUAAGGGGAGCCAACGCAAGUUGGUCACAGAAAAGAGGCUCAAGCGACUGUUUAGCAAAAACAUAGGUCUAUGCGAAACCGUAAGGUGAUGUAUAUGGGCUGACGCCUGCCCGGUGCUGGAAGGUUAAAAGGAGAGGUUAGCGUAAGCGAAGCUUUGAAUUCAAGCCCCAGUAAACGGCGGCCGUAACUAUAACGGUCCUAAGGUAGCGAAAUUCCUUGUCAGGUAAGUUCUGACCCGCACGAAAGGUGUAACGAUUUGAGCACUGUCUCGACAACACGCCCGGUGAAAUUGAAGAACCAGUGAAGAUACUGGUUACCCGCAACAGGACGGAAAGACCCCAUGGAGCUUUACUCCAGCUUGAUAUUGGGAUUCGGUAUUGUAUGUACAGGAUAGGUGGGAGACUAAGAAGCUAGCACGCCAGUGUUGGUGGAGUCGAUGGUGGGAUACCUCUCUUAUAGUACUGAAUUUCUAACCUACUUCCGUGAAUCCGGAAGAGGGACAUUGUUAGGUGGGCAGUUUGACUGGGGCGGUCGCCUCCGAAAGAGUAAC
Molecule: ribosomal RNA, 2269 nt
Filed under: human gut metagenome
Description: bacterial LSU rRNA
Rfam family: Bacterial large subunit ribosomal RNA
Source: RNAcentral